Molecule: small nuclear RNA, 125 nt
Organism: Apis florea (little honeybee)
Lineage: Eukaryota; Metazoa; Arthropoda; Insecta; Hymenoptera; Apidae
Product: U5 spliceosomal RNA
Source: RefSeq, a predicted model, not a curated record
CAACUGUGGUUUCCCUUCAAAAUUCGGAUAAAUCUUUCGCCUUUUACUAAAGAUUUCCGUGGAGGGGAACAAAUUGGAUCAGUCGAUAUAUAAAUUUUUUAUAUUACCUCGACUUUCGUCGAGGU